RNAcentral lists this ribosomal RNA (449 nucleotides) under uncultured bacterium. RNAcentral describes it as "partial 16S ribosomal RNA". It matches the Rfam family "Bacterial small subunit ribosomal RNA", at positions 29 to 523 of the family's 1533-position model. The record is from RNAcentral.
AACGAACGCUGGCGGCAUGCCUAACACAUGCAAGUCGAACGAGAUCUUCGGGUCUAGUGGCGCACGGGUGCGUAACGCGUGGGAAUCUGCCCUUUGGUUCGGAAUAACAGUUGGAAACGACUGCUAAUACCGGAUGAUGACGAAAGUCCAAAGAUUUAUCGCCAGAGGAUGAGCCCGCGUAGGAUUAGCUAGUUGGUGUGGUAAAGGCGCACCAAGGCGACGAUCCUUAGCUGGUCUGAGGGGAGGAUCAGCCGCACUGGGACUGAGACAAGGCCCAGACGCCUACGGGAGGGUGCGAUGGGGAAUAUUGGACAAUGGGCGAAAGCCUGAUCCAGCAAUGCCGCGUGGGUGAUGAAGGCCUUAGGGUUGUAAAGCUCUUUUACCCGGGAUGAUAAUGACAGUACCGGGAGAAUAAGCUCCGGCUAACUCCGUGCCAGCAGCCGCCGUAA